Molecule: non-coding RNA, 3924 nt
Organism: Rattus norvegicus (Norway rat)
Lineage: Eukaryota; Metazoa; Chordata; Mammalia; Rodentia; Muridae
Source: RefSeq, a predicted model, not a curated record
GGGCCUUGCGCUUCCUAGGUAAGCGCUCUACCACUGAGCUAAAUCCCCAGCCCCGUAUUACUUCUUAAUUAGCGGUGGGUCUGUUCAUAUCUGUCUAGACUACUUACAGAGCUUAUGGAAUGUUUUUAUAUAGCGAGGGAAUUUGUUGUGAUGACUUACAGUCUGUAGUCCAACUCCCCCAACAAUGGUCAGCUGUGAAUGGGAAGUCCAAGAAUCUAGUAGUUUCUUAGUUCCACGAGGCUAGCUGUUUCAGCUUUUCUUCUGUAGAACUUAGAUUCCAACAGAUGUGCUGGCAAGUAAAUGCAAGCAAGCAGAGCAAAUCUUUCUUCUUCCAAUGUCCUUAUGUAAGUCUCCAGCAGAAGGUGUGGCCCAGAUUAAAGGUGUGUACCACCAUGCCUGGAUCUGGGACUUGAUUUGUCCCAGGCUGACAUUGAACUCAGAAAUCUCCUUGCCUUAGUCUCCUGGGAUUAAAGACAUGUACUACCUUGCCUGGGCCUAAGCUUUUCAUGGCCACUAUGCCUCAAGAUCUCCAUGCCAAGAUCCAUGUCAGAAACUUGGAUCUCCCAGCCUCAAGAUCUGGAUCACAGGUGAGCCUUCCAAUUCUGGAUUAGUUCAUUCCAGAAAUAGUCAAGUUGACAACCAGAAAUAGCUACUACAAGAUACCAUGAAGUAUAGAAAACACGUGGAUAUGGGAUUACUUACAAAAGGCAGUGUCUACCAUUGCUAUCCUAGAGCCUAGGAAAGCCAGAAUGUGGAAUCUAGACCUAAUCAUACAGGCAUGUGACGACACUGGCGAGGGUCCUUGACCAUACAAAGAUUCCAUUGCCCUUCUAAGGAAAACACGAGCCAUCUUCCCUAAAUAUAGGCCAUUCAGGCAGCUCCAGGGCCUACACUGAAAGACCCCAGCUUAGCAGCAGUAACGCCAUUUUGCAAGGCUGUACUUAAGAUGACUGGUUCAGGGAAAGGUUAGAACACUGAGUACACAGCGGCUGCCAAGCAGGAUGUGUUUGGUUGAAGGCCUGGCAACAGGACGACUUCGGUUGAGCACCUGACAAUGAAAAAAAAGCCCCGAGAGAGGUCCCACACCCUGGUGGGGGGCCGAGUCAGUCGUUAUGUUCCAAGAAGGUAGCUAAGAAACUUGCCCCCGGGCUGAACCCUUGGGGGGCCGAGUCAGCCGUUAUGUUUCUGGAAGGUAGCUAGGAAACUUGCCCCCGGGCUAAACCCUUGCCAUAUUAGAAUCCACCAAUUAUAUCCCUGUAACCAUACAUCUGCUUCUGUAUGCUUGCUUCUGCUCCCCAAAAUCCUAUAAAAGCCCAUCCUUGGUUCCGUGGGGCGCGCCAGUCCCCCGAGUGACUGAAGCGCCCGCAGGUGCCUGUGCCUGUGUAUCCCAACAAUAAACCAAAUCCUCUUGCUGAUUGCAUCCUGUGGUGUCUCGGUCUGGUCUUUGGAGUUGGAGGGUCUCCAUCCCGAGGGAAAGUUCUCCCUGAGAGCUUUUCAUUUGGUGCAUUGGCCGGGAAAGGAGAUCCUCCACCCAGGGACCACCGACCACCCACUGGGAGGUAAGCCGGCCGGUGUCUGUCUGUCUGUCUGAUUUUGUCUCGUUCUGCCUUAUUCUGUCUGUUCUGUGAGCGCUCAGCCAGGUCUGUUCUGUGAGCGCUCAGCCAGGUCUGUUCUGUGAGCGCUCAGCCAGGUCUGUUCUGUGAGCGCUCAGCCAGGUUGUUUGGAAUUUGGGCGGGACGAAGAAGGAGCUGACGAGCUCGGACUUCUCGCCCCGCAGCCCUGGAAGACGUUCCAAGGGUGUUGGGGCCCGACUUUUCGGGGCCCAAUCUGGGAGAGGAGAAAGAUCCGGACUAACAGCACCUCUGUCUGUAUUUUUGGCUUUCAGAGGGCCCCGGACCUUUGCCACCUCCAUCUGACUUUUUGCUUUCAGUUUGGUACCAAAGCCGUGCAGCACGCCUGUCUGUUGUUUGUUUGACUGUUGGUGUUGUUUGUUUUCUCUGUGUUCUAAUCUUCCUUAGAACUAACAUGGGACAGUCCCUAACAAUGCCCCUAAGUCUCACUCUUGAUCAUUAGAAAGACGUCCACGACCGGGCACACAACCAGUCCGUCGAGGUUAAAAAAGGAAAAUGACAGACUCUCUGCACAUCCGAGUGGCCCACUUUCGGAGCGGGAUGGCCAGUGAAUGGCACAUUUAAUAAGAUCAUUAUUUUACAGGUUAAAGAUCGGGUCGUCCACGGACAUCCUGACCAGGUUUCUUAUAUUAUCACUUGAGAGAGUCUCGCCUUAAACCCCCCCCCCCCGGGCGGAACCCUUCGUGGACCCGAAUUGGCCUCCCCUCAACCCCCAGCCUGUCCCCUCGGCCCCGCCCGGUCCGCCGGCCACGUCUUCCUCUCUCUACCUUUGUGAAAUCAGAGCCUUCUAAGAAACCUGUCCUCCCGGCAGACCCAAACUCCCCUCUCACAGAUCUUCUCUCUGACAGGCCCGGCUGAAACGGAGGAGGCAGAGCCGCCGGCCAGAUCAGUUGCUGGGCCACAGUCUGAUAAGGGUUUCUCCCCUGUCGCAGGGAGAUUGCACAAUAAGCGCGAGGUGAUGCCAGAUUCAACCUCCCAGGCUUUCCCACUUAGACAGGGAACCGGUGGCCAGACCCAAUACUGGCCGUUUUCAGCAGCUGACAUUUACAAUUGGAAACAACACAACCCUUCUUUCUCCAAAGAUCCGGUGGCACUCACCGACCUAAUAGAAUCUGUUUUACUUACCCACCAGCCUACUUGGGAUGACUGCCAACAGCUCUUACAGGCCCUCUUAACCUCAGAAAAAACAAAGAGUGUUCCUAGAGGCCAGAAAGCAUGUUCUGGGAGAUGAUGCUCGUCCCACCCAGCUGCCUGAGGACCAAACUGGGAUUUUAAUACAGCUGAAGCCCUUCUCUGAGGGCCCAUUUACAGGCCCUACAGAUUGUGCAGAGAGACGUUUGGAGACCUUUGGCCGCUGCUUACCAGGACAAGCUUGAACAUCCGGUGGUGCCACACCCGUUCCAGAUUGGAGACACCGUGUGGGUGCGCAGACACCAGACCAAGAAUCUCGAGCCACGGUGGAAAGGACCCUACACCGUCCUCCUGACUACCCUGACCGCCCUAAAGAUAGACGGAGUCUCGGCUUAGAUCCACGCACCACACGUCAAGGCAGUCCGGUCUGAGGAAUUGACUAAUCACAACACUACACCCCAGACAUGGAGAGUUCAGCGCACUCCAAACCCCUUAAAGUUAAAACUCCUACGUGGCUCCUCCUAGCCCUUUUGUGGCCUAGAGUCAGUGGGGGAAUAAGCCCCCACCAGACAGAAAUUUCUUGACCAAGUCGAGUGAAAGAUUUCACUCAAAGUUAACAAAAAAAAAUGGGGGAAUGAAAGACCCCAGCUUAGCAGCAGUAACGCCAUUUUGCAAGGCUGUACUUAAGAUGACUGGUUCAGGGAAAGGUUAGAACACUGAGUACACAGCGGCUGCCAAGCAGGAUGUGUUUGGUUGAAGGCCUGGCAACAGGACGACUUCGGUUGAGCACCUGACAAUGAAAAAAAAGCCCCGAGAGAGGUCCCACACCCUGGUGGGGGGCCGAGUCAGUCGUUAUGUUCCAAGAAGGUAGCUAAGAAACUUGCCCCCGGGCUGAACCCUUGGGGGGCCGAGUCAGCCGUUAUGUUUCUGGAAGGUAGCUAGGAAACUUGCCCCCGGGCUAAACCCUUGCCAUAUUAGAAUCCACCAAUUAUAUCCCUGUAACCAUACAUCUGUUUCUGUAUGCUUGCUUCUGCUCCCCAAAAUCCUAUAAAAGCCCAUCCUUGGUUCCGUGGGGCGCGCCAGUCCCCCGAGUGACUGAAGCGCCCGCAGGUGCCUGUGCCUGUGUAUCCCAACAAUAAACCAAAUCCUCUUGCUGAUUGCA